ACCUGAAGAUCUUGGCAACGCAAC
Molecule: small RNA, 24 nt
Filed under: Arabidopsis thaliana (thale cress)
Lineage: Eukaryota; Viridiplantae; Streptophyta; Magnoliopsida; Brassicales; Brassicaceae
Description: ATSL005420
Source: RNAcentral